RNAcentral lists this ribosomal RNA (556 nucleotides) under uncultured Glomeromycotina. RNAcentral's name for it is "SSU rRNA". It matches the Rfam family "Eukaryotic small subunit ribosomal RNA", at positions 548 to 1098 of the family's 1831-position model. Lineage: Eukaryota; Fungi; Glomeromycota. The record is from RNAcentral.
UUGGAGGGCAAGUCUGGUGCCAGCAGCCGCGGUAAUUCCAGCUCCAAUAGCGUAUAUUAAAGUUGUUGCAGUUAAAAAGCUCGUAGUUGAAUUUCGGGAUUGACGUAAUGGUCGUGCCUUAAGGGGUAUGAACUGUUACUGUUGAUUUCUCACCUUCUGGAGAAACUUGAUGUCCUUAAUUGGGUGUCUUGCGGAUCCAGGACCUUUACCUUGAAAAAAUUAGAGUGUUUAAAGCAGGCAUUUUUGCUCGAAUACAUUAGCAUGGAAUAAUAGAAUAGGACGGCAUGGUUCUAUUUUGUUGGUUUCUAGGAUCACCGUAAUGAUUAAUAGGGAUAGUUGGGGGCAUUAGUAUUCAAUUGUCAGAGGUGGAAUUCUUGGAUUUAUUGAAGACUAACUACUGCGAAAGCAUUUGCCAAGGAUGUUUUCAUUAAUCAAGAACGAAAGUUAGGGGAUCGAAGACGAUCAGAUACCGUCGUAGUCUUAACCAUAAACUAUGCCGACUAGGAAUCAGACGAUGUUAAUUUUUUAAUGACUCGUUCGGCGCCUUACGGGAAAC